AUACGGAGGAUGCGAGCGUUAUCCGGAUUUAUUGGGUUUAAAGGGUGCGUAGGCUGUGCGUUAAGUCAGGGGUGAAAUGCCGUCGCUCAACGACGGAGCUGCCCUUGAUACUGGCGUGCUGGAGUACGGAUGCCGUUGGAGGAAUGAGUGGUGUAGCGGUGAAAUGCUUAGAUAUCACUAAGAACACCGAUUGCGAAGGCAUCUGACGAAUCCGUCACUGACGCUGAGGCACGAAAGCGUGGGGAUAGAACAGGAUUAGAUACCCUGGUAUUCCACGCCGUAAACGAUGAUGACUAACCGUCGGCGAUAGACAGCCGGUGGCCAAGCGAAAGCGAUAAGUCAUCCACCUGGGGAGUACGUCGGCAACGAUGAAACUCAAAUGAAUUGACGGGG
Molecule: ribosomal RNA, 393 nt
Filed under: uncultured bacterium
Lineage: Bacteria
Description: partial 16S ribosomal RNA
Rfam family: Bacterial small subunit ribosomal RNA
Source: RNAcentral